AUUGAACGCUGGCGGCAUGCCUUACACAUGCAAGUCGAACGGCAGCACGGGAGCAAUCCUGGUGGCGAGUGGCGAACGGGUGAGUAAAGUAUCGGAACGUGCCCAGUCGUGGGGGAUAACGUAGCGAAAGUUACGCUAAUACCGCAUACGAUCUAUGGAUGAAAGCGGGGGAUCGCAAGACCUCGCGCGAUUGGAGCGGCCGAUAUCAGAUUAGGUAGUUGGUGGGGUAAAGGCUCACCAAGCCGACGAUCUGUAGCUGGUCUGAGAGGACGACCAGCCAGACUGGGACUGGGACACGGCCCAGACUCCUACGGGAGGCAGCAGUGGGGAAUUUUGGACAAUGGGCGAAAGCCUGAUCCAGCCAUGCCGCGUGCAGGAUGAAGGCCUUCGGGUUGUAAACUGCUUUUGUACGGAACGAAAAGGUUUGGGCUAAUAAGCUGAGCUCAUGACGGUACCGUAAGAAUAAGCACCGGCUAACUACGUGCCAGCAGCCGCCGCCG
RNAcentral lists this ribosomal RNA (500 nucleotides) under uncultured bacterium. Its description in RNAcentral is "partial 16S ribosomal RNA". It matches the Rfam family "Bacterial small subunit ribosomal RNA", at positions 30 to 523 of the family's 1533-position model. The record is from RNAcentral.